CCUACGGGAGGCAGCAGUAGGGAAUAUUGCACAAUGGGGGAAACCCUGAUGCAGCGACGCCGCGUGAAGGAUGAAGUUUUUCGGAUUGUAAAGCCCUUUCAGUAGGGAAGAAAAUGACGGUAUCUGACCAAGAAGCACCGGCUAACUACGUGCCAGCAGCCGCGGUAAUACGUAGGGGGCAAGCGUUACUCGGAUUUACUGGGCGUAAAGGGAGCGUAGGCGGGAGGGCAAGUCAGAUGUGAAAUCCGGUGGCUUAACCAUCGGACUGCAGUUGAAACUGUCAUGCUGGAGUAUGGGAGAGGUAGGUGGAAUUCCUGGUGUAGGGGUAAAAUCCGUAGAUAUCAAGAGGAAUACUAAUGGCGAAGGCGACCUGCUGGAACGUAACUGACGUUGAGGCGCGAAAGCGUGGGGAGCAAACAGGAUUAGAUACCCGUGUAGUC
This 440-nucleotide ribosomal RNA is filed under the name uncultured bacterium. Its description in RNAcentral is "partial 16S ribosomal RNA". It matches the Rfam family "Bacterial small subunit ribosomal RNA", at positions 338 to 795 of the family's 1533-position model. The record is from RNAcentral.